UCGCCCGGCUAAUUUUUUGUAUUUUUAGUAGAGACGGGGUUUCACCGUGUUAGCCAGGAUGGUCUGGAUCUCCUGACCUCGUGAUCCGCCCGCCUCGGCCUCCCAAAGUGCUGAGAUUACAGGCGUGAGCCACCGUGCCUGGCCUCCUCUCUUAAUUCAAGUAAUUUUACGUGAGCAACAAUGGGGUAAGGAGGAGAAAAGAAAGAAGGAAAAAUUGGAAAGAUAAAUGGGGUCUUUCCAGUGAAGGAACUUGGCAAAUGUAUUUGAUGUACUACUUGAUUUAACAUCUAUGCUUCCAAACGUUUAUUAUAAAGAAAUUACCAAGGCUGAAUUUUCCUACAUAAUUAAGAGUUUGGAAUUUGGGCAAUGUGAAGAACCACAUCUGUCCUGAAAUCAAUUAUCUGUGUUUGAAACACAAGAAAUAAGAAGACCAUUUUGAGAAGAACAGAGAGUAGCCUUAAGAAAAUCCCUGUCGCAUGCACUCUGGGAUUUGGACUCAAAUGCUAAUUAUACAACGUUGGUGGACCAGCCUUAAAACCAACAAUGAUUUGUAACAUUGAUUCUUUGGGAAAGGGCAUUCAGGAUCCCACAUCACCAUGUAACAAAUGAAUUUUUGUAACAAAACCCAUUUAGACAAGAUCAUGUUCUGUUGCUCAGGCUGGAGUGCAGUGACACCAUCAUAGCUCACUAUAACCUCAAACUACUGGGCUCAGGAGAUCCCCCCACCUCAGCCUCCCGAGUAGCUUGGACUACAGGAACCACUUGGGUGCCCAGCUGCUGUCCAUUCUCCACACCUAUCCCACCUGAUGGAAUGCUGUUGAGAAAAACAUCACUGCAAUGCCUGAUAAACAGACAUGGGUCCCAGACCCAAUAAGAGUGAAACCAUCCCCCUAUUUAAAUGAAAUUAUCGCUGAUGAGAAAGACAAAUUAAUUUCUCUGUCCCCAGUAUUACACAAAACUUUGGAUGCUACCAUUGGUACAAUCUUAUUUUCCCCAGGAGCUCAGAGUCCCACCUUCAUUCUUUUUGUUUAAUGCCUAAGCUUGCCUCUCCACCUG
RNAcentral lists this long non-coding RNA (1056 nucleotides) under Pongo abelii (Sumatran orangutan). Its description in RNAcentral is "lincRNA". Lineage: Eukaryota; Metazoa; Chordata; Mammalia; Primates; Hominidae. The record is from RNAcentral.